GACCAGGAGACAGGCGCCUUUCCCGAGGCCUCGACUGACGCAGAAUCCGGACCAGGUAAUGGAUGUCAUGGAUGCAUUUGUAUCAGAAAAUCUCCACCUAACAUCUUGUGAUGUAGAUCUGCAUCCUUUUCAUCAUGGAAGACAUCAUUCUGUGAGAACAGGAACAGAAAGCAAAGAGAAUGAAGUGGGACAGGAGACAGACUCCCUGAGGUGCUCUGAAGACUCCAGAGCAUGUAAGAGCGUCGGAUGAAUCCAAGCUCAAGUGCAUUAAUAAAUACUGCUUCCCUCAAACUUGCAACACUGGUGCCAUCAUUAUUCCCAUAUCGCAGACAAAGAAGUUACUUGACUGUUGAAACCCACCUAGUCAGGGGCAGAGCUGGGGCCCGGGCCCAGCCAUUCUAAGGCCUCCUGCUGUCCCGGCUGUCUCCCUUUUGGC
Long non-coding RNA from Delphinapterus leucas (beluga whale), 436 nucleotides. RefSeq lists it as uncharacterized. NCBI's taxonomy places the organism in Eukaryota, Metazoa, Chordata, Mammalia, Artiodactyla, Monodontidae. The record is from RefSeq and is a predicted model, not a curated record.